This 253-nucleotide ribosomal RNA is filed under the name uncultured bacterium. RNAcentral describes it as "partial 16S ribosomal RNA". It matches the Rfam family "Bacterial small subunit ribosomal RNA", at positions 524 to 776 of the family's 1533-position model. The record is from RNAcentral.
UACGUAGGGUGCGAGCGUUAAUCGGAAUUACUGGGCGUAAAGCGUGCGCAGGCGGCUUUGUAAGUCAGAUGUGAAAUCCCCGGGCUUAACCUGGGAACUGCGUUUGAAACUACAAGGCUAGAGUGUGGCAGAGGGGGGUGGAAUUCCACGUGUAGCAGUGAAAUGCGUAGAGAUGUGGAGGAACACCGAUGGCGAAGGCAGCCCCCUGGGUUAACACUGACGCUCAGGCACGAAAGCGUGGGGAGCAAACAGG